UACGUAGGGUGCAAGCGUUAAUCGGAAUUACUGGGCGUAAAGCGUGCGCAGGCGGUCUUGCAAGACAGAUGUGAAAUCCCCGGGCUCAACCUGGGAACUGCAUUUGUGUCUGCAAGGCUGGAGUGCGACAGAGGGGGAUGGAAUUCCGCGUGUAGCAGUGAAAUGCGUAGAUAUGCGGAGGAACACCGAUGGCGAAGGCAAUCCCCUGGGCCUGCACUGACGCUCAUGCACGAAAGCGUGGGGAGCAAACAGG
This 253-nucleotide ribosomal RNA is filed under the name uncultured bacterium. Its description in RNAcentral is "partial 16S ribosomal RNA". It matches the Rfam family "Bacterial small subunit ribosomal RNA", at positions 524 to 776 of the family's 1533-position model. The record is from RNAcentral.